RNAcentral lists this ribosomal RNA (339 nucleotides) under Triticum aestivum (bread wheat). Its description in RNAcentral is "partial small subunit ribosomal RNA". The record is from RNAcentral. Lineage: Eukaryota; Viridiplantae; Streptophyta; Magnoliopsida; Poales; Poaceae.
AUGAUGCUUUCGCUCAGCCACACCAUUCUAUGCGUGAGCACCAUGACAAGAGAACUGAGAGAGAGUCCCUUGGUCAGCAAGAACACCACACAACAUCUUGGAAAUAUACUCGCCCGCGGAGUCAGCAAGAAACACACGAAUGGGCGAAGAGAACCGUGUGUGAACCAUGGCAGCAAAACCCUUGUAGAUGGACAAAACCUCACUGCGAGAAGUCAUAAAAUAAAGCCAAGUGUAACGAGAGAAAUCAUCUAUGAAAAUAAUAUAGUAUCGAUGUCCCUCUUUCGAAUGAAGGGAGUCGGACCCCAUACAUCGGAAUGGACUAAAUCAAAAGGACGCUGA